UGAAUACGAGACGCUAAGGCGUCGAAGUAGUGUAUGUCAUACUUCCAAGAAAAGCUUGCACUGUCAUAGAUAAAAAACGCCUGUACCAUAACCGACACAGGUGGGUAGGUAGAGUAUACUAAGGGGCGCGAGAUAACUCUCUCUAAGGAACUCGGCAAAAUAACUCCGUAACUUCGGGAGAAGGAGUGCCUUAUUCUUAAGGUUGCAAUAACAAGAUCCAAGCAACUGUUUAUCAAAAACACAGGUCUCCGCUAAGUCGUAAGACGAUGUAUGGGGGCUGACGCCUGCCCAGUGCCAGAAGGUUAAAGAAGCUGGUUAGCAUUUGCGAAGCUAGUAACUGAAGCCCUGGUGAACGGCGGCCGUAACAAUAACGGUCCUAAGGUAGCGAAAUUCCUUGUCGGGUAAGUUCCGACCCGCACGAAAGGCGUAAUGAUUUGGAUACUGUCUCGGAGAGGGGCUCGGUGAAAUAGACUUGUCUGUGAAGAUGCGGACUACCUGCACCAGGACAGAAAGACCCUAUGAAGCUUUACUGUAACUUGAAAUUGAAAUUGGACUUUAUUCGCGCAGUAUAGGUGGGAGGCGUUGAUUAUAAUCUUGCGGGAUUAUUGGAGCCAUUAGUGAGAUACCACUCUUGUAAUGUUAGAUUUCUAACUUUGAAUCAUUAUCUGGUCAAAGAACAGUUUCAGGCGGGCAGUUUGACUGGGGCGGUCGCCUCCCAAACGGUAACGGAGGCGUACAAAGGUUUCCUCUGAACGGUUAGAAAUCGUAUCUAGAGUGUAAAGGCAUAAGGAAGCUUGACUGUGAGACCUACAAGUCGAGCAGGGACGAAAGUCGGUCUUAGUGAUCUGACGGUACUGAGUGGAAAGGCCGUCACUCAACGGAUAAAAGUUACUCUAGGAUAACAGGCUGAUCUCCCCCAAGAGUUCACAUCGACGGGGAGGUUUGGCACCUCGAUGUCGGCUCAUCGCAUCCUGGGGCGGUAGUACGUCCCAAGGGUUGGGCUGUUCGCCCAUGAAAGCGGUACGCGAGCUGGGUUCAGAACGUCGUGAGACAGUUCGGUCCAUAUCCGGUGUAGGCGUUAGAAUAUUGAGAGGAGCCUUCUUUAGUACGAGAGGACCGAGAAGGACAUACCUCUGGUGUACCAGUUGUCGUGCCAACGGUAGACGCUGGGUAGCUAUGUAUGGAGUGGAUAACCGCUGAGAGCAUCUAAGUGGGAAGCCCACCUCAAGAUAAGUAUUCUCAU
RNAcentral lists this ribosomal RNA (1243 nucleotides) under metagenome. RNAcentral's name for it is "bacterial LSU rRNA". It matches the Rfam family "Bacterial large subunit ribosomal RNA", at positions 1564 to 2817 of the family's 2925-position model. The record is from RNAcentral.